Molecule: long non-coding RNA, 2798 nt
Organism: Monodelphis domestica (gray short-tailed opossum)
Lineage: Eukaryota; Metazoa; Chordata; Mammalia; Didelphimorphia; Didelphidae
Source: Ensembl
CCCUUCUCUUGAAAGAAUACCUACUUUAGGGAAAUCUCUGCAACCUCCAGACAUUUAAAAAAUACUUUAAAACAACCAUUGUGCAUAUGUCUGUCUCUUGUGCCUCUCUGCUGAAGAGAGCACUGCUAUGCUAAAAACUAGCAACUGGCCAAAGUUAUUGUAAAACUUUACAAAUAUAAAGAGCUAUAUGAAUGCUAAAUGGUGUCAUCAUCAUUUCAUGGAUUAUUCUUUAGUAUACAUGAUAGAAAUUAAAAUAAGGAAGACAUUACUAACAAUAGUGGAAUGUGUUGCUUGUUUCAGUGGAAGAUUUCAAGAAGAAGCUGUCAAGGAUAUUGUAGAGUUGAUUUCUGCUUCAGGAGACAAGAUACAUAAAGAAUUUCCAUUGCACUGGAGGAACUCAGCCUGCCUGGGAAGAUCUAUUUCAAAUACUGUUAAUUACUCCAACAGCUAUCAAAAUAGGAGAAAAGGACUCUUGGAUUCAUUGCUUGCAUAUAAAACAGGUACUCUACUGAAACUGAGUGAUUAUCUUAUCACAUAUAUUGUAUUUGCUGCUGUUUGGGUUUUUUUUUUAGAUUUAAUUUUGCUUUUAAGGUUAUAUAUUAAUCUAAGAUGUUCUGUUAUACACUGUUACCUUCACUUAGUAUGUUUUAAUUAUUAGCUAUAUGUUCUUUUACAUUGUCUUAUUUGUAUUCCCUUCCUAGGAUUGGACUAGAGAAAAUGCCAUUAUAAAAGUUCCUAAACAAGUUGGACAAUUUUCCAUGGCAAAGCCAUUGGCCCCUAUGGAUGCUAGGUCUGUCACCAGAUCCAUCAGAGCUCUGUUUUGUCAUGGGCAACAAUUCCAGUCUACAGAAAUGAGACAUUACCACAGCUUGCACCACAGGAAGGUCACAUUACCUAAACAGCCUUUUGCUCCUUUUACCUUUGUUGUCACAUAGAUGAUGAGGGAUGGUUCCCAUCAAAAUGAUUACAACCUAUAUCAGUAACCUUUGAGGAAUUUAAGGAACUAAAGAUCUCAGUUGAUUUUUAACAGGUCUGCAGAAGUAUUUUUAGGUAUCUAGAAUCACCACUACAUCUAACUUAUCAUUUGCCUACCUUUGACUUGUGUGUGAUGAGCGGUAAAGCUCCAGUAAGUAGUAGUAAGUAUAUGGGUGACAAAGUGAAGUACAACUGCACCAUUCCAUUCCUUACCUUUGCAUUUAUUUGUGCUAGAGCAAAGCUUAGAAAUUCAAUGGAUGGGACACAUAAAUGCAUGUCUUUUACAACUGUUACAGUCUCAUCUUGCUGGAAGAAGGAUUUCCAUGGGGCUUGGUAACCCCUGGACAGUUCUAUGUUUGUAACUUUUCAAUUUAUUCUACCCUUUCCCUAGGAUGGCAUGGUACCUAUGGUUUGGUUUAUGUUAUUUCACCUGCAUGAUCACUAUAUUGGCCAAAUAGACAAGUCCACAGCCAGAAAUCUAGGUUCUUGGUGGCAUUCUAGAGCCAAGAGGUCAAGGCCAAAUUCAGUAACAUUCUCAUCAGCAGUACAGAGGUUUUUCUGGGCAUUCCUGCCAAAUUUUGAAAUGAUGGCAGUGAUAGACUCUUUUAGAAAUAUCUCAGAUGAGACUGAUUGGCUCAACAUACAGCUCAAGCCAUCUCCCUAACUACUUAGGCCAUCUCUUUCUUAUAGGAAGAGAUUGACUCCUUAACAAAAACAAUUUUACAAAACUGGCCCUUGACAUGCUUACAGUCACAUCAGGAGGUGUGUGUGCCUUUAUUAAUCAAUCUUGUUGUUCUUAUGUAAAUAGAUCUGGAGAAAUUGUGACAAAUAACCGUGAUCUUCAAAGGAUUUUAAAAGGCACAUAUAAAAGACAAGUAUAAUCAUCCUAAAAUCCAAGGCUUAAGAUCAUUUAAAGCAAUUUUAGGAAAAGAAAAUCACCAACAUCCUGAAUCAAGAAAGUGGAUCUUCUGGGGAAAAUGUCAUACGGAUGCCUACAGAAAUUACACAUUGCAUCAAGAGACCCAGAGUGAAUUUUGGAAUAUAAUGAACUGAACUGAAGGGAGUUGAGCCUAGCAUUUAUUCUGAAUGUAAAUUCUUAUGCCAAAGGGGAGUGCCCCCUAAUUGUUUUUUUUCUCAAUGUGUCUAUCAAUAAUUUUUUCUCUCUUAUUCUUUCUUUCCCUCUUAUUCCCCAAAAUUGUUGUAAUUCCCUCUAUGUAAAGUGCAAUAUUUUAUACACUUCUAAUAAGAGAAUCUUUAGAUAUAUAGGCUACAUAUGUGGAAUGAUUGAUUCAUUGAGGAAACUUGACAUGUUAAUCUCCUAGAAAACCCAAAUGAGGAGAUUUAAUGUGCUGGUCCUGCAAAGAAUCAACGUGGGGGAUCAUACAAAAGGAAAUUUAUUCUUCUUCCCUCGCUUGCUGACCAUUGACCUGGAAACCAGAAUUGUAUAAGGGAAACCAUUGGGUAGAUUAGGUCACAAGGAUAGAAUGGUAACAAGAAAAAGACAGCAAAGGAGUCAAGAGUCAUGAGACAAGGAGCAGGGCGAUUUCCCCUGGCACUGCCCCCAGCCCCAGGUGACAGAGGCAAAAUGGAGAGCCAUUGUUGGUUCUUGAGACAUGACUUAUGGGAAUUCGUGGGCAGAGAAGUUUAAAAACUGAGGCAAGAGCGAAUUUUGAUUUCUGCUCUUCCAUGUUUGUCUCUAUGCCUGUAAGCAUGGCUAGGGGCCCUUAUGGCGGCUAUACAAUAGCCAACUAAAUGUUUCUCUCUUAUUUUUCCAUCUUUUAUCCUACCACUUUUGGUUUAAUAAAAUUAUUAGUUUGUGGCCA